RNAcentral lists this ribosomal RNA (405 nucleotides) under uncultured bacterium. RNAcentral's name for it is "partial 16S ribosomal RNA". It matches the Rfam family "Bacterial small subunit ribosomal RNA", at positions 30 to 526 of the family's 1533-position model. The record is from RNAcentral.
AUUGAACGCUGGCGGCAGGCCUAACACAUGCAAGUCGAACGAGUGGCGGACGGGUGAGUAAUGUCUGGGAAACUGCCUGAUGGAGGGGGAUAAUUACUGGAAACGGUAGCUAAUACCGCAUACCAUCAGAUGUGCCCAGAUGGGAUUGGCUUGUUGGUGGGGUAACGGCUCACCAACGCGACGAUCCCUAGCUGGCCUGAGAGGAUGACCAGCCACUCUGGAACUGAGGCACGGCCCAGACUCACACGAGAGGCAGCAGGGGGUAAUUAUGCACAAUGGGCGCAAGCCUGAUGUAGCCAUGCCGCGUGUAUGAAGAAGGCCUUCGGGUUGUAAAGUACUUUCAGCGGGGAGGCGUAACCGCAGAGGAAGCAUCGGCUAACUCCGUGCCAGCAGCCGCGGUAAUAC